AAACUUGAGAGUUUGAUCCUGGCUCAGAACGAACGCUGGCGGCAGGCUUAACACAUGCAAGUCGAACGCGUGUAGCAAUACACGAGUGGCGCACGGGCGAGUAACACGUGGAUAUCUGCCUUUUGGUUCGGAAUAACCCUGGGAAACUAGGGCUAAUACCGGAUGGAUCCUACGGGAUAAAGAUUUAUCGCCAAGAGAUGAGUCCGCGUCCGAUUAGCUAGUUGGUGAGGUAAUGGCUCACCAAGGCAACGAUCGGUAGCUGGUCUGAGAGGACGAUCAGCCACACUGGGACUGAGACACGGCCCAGACUCCUACGGGAGGCAGCAGUGGGGAAUAUUGGACAAUGGGCGAAAGCCUGAUCCAGCAAUGCCGCGUGAGUGAUGAAGGCCUUAGGGUUGUAAAGCUCUUUCGGGUGGGACGAUGAUGACGGUACCACCAGAAGAAGCCCCGGCUAACUUCGUGCCAGCAGCCGCGGUAAUACGAAGGGGGCUAGCGUUGUUCGGAAUUACUGGGCGUAAAGCGCACGCAGGCGG
This 533-nucleotide ribosomal RNA is filed under the name Alphaproteobacteria bacterium. Its description in RNAcentral is "bacterial SSU rRNA". It matches the Rfam family "Bacterial small subunit ribosomal RNA", at positions 1 to 578 of the family's 1533-position model. Lineage: Bacteria; Pseudomonadati; Pseudomonadota; Alphaproteobacteria. The record is from RNAcentral.